GAUGAACGCUAGCGGCAGGCCUAAUACAUGCAAGUCGAACGGGUAGUAGCAAUACUACUAGUGGCGCACGGGUGCGUAACGCGUAACCAACCUACCUGGAUCUGGGGGAUAGCCCGCCGAAAGGCGGAUUAAUACCGCAUAAGCCGUGCGAGUGGCAUCACUUGGACGGUAAAGAUUUAUUGGAUUCAGAUGGGGUUGCGUAGCAUUAGCUAGAUGGCGGGGUAACGGCCCACCAUGGCGACGAUGCUUAGGGGACCUGAGAGGGUGAUCCCCCACACUGGCACUGAGAUACGGGCCAG
RNAcentral lists this ribosomal RNA (299 nucleotides) under uncultured Hymenobacter sp. RNAcentral describes it as "partial 16S ribosomal RNA". It matches the Rfam family "Bacterial small subunit ribosomal RNA", at positions 28 to 334 of the family's 1533-position model. Lineage: Bacteria; Pseudomonadati; Bacteroidota; Cytophagia; Cytophagales; Hymenobacteraceae. The record is from RNAcentral.